CAGUUGACACACUUCAUCAAGUCAUUCAAAGCAGUCUGCAGUGUCUCCUCUUUGUAAAAUGGGGUUCUCCUGUCUGUGAGACUGUCGAUCGAUCGUGGGUCGUGUGAGAGAAAGGCCCCAACAGCACUGCGCCUGACUCGGAGUGGCACUGUCCUGCCCAGACGCCAGCCUAGGGAGGGGUGAGGAGGAGGCUGCACUGGCGCUCGGGUCGCCGCACCGCCCCGCAGCCGCGCGCUCUCCGCAGUGACAGCAACCGCAACUGCAGCAGCACCCAGCUCCAUCCUCACCAGCCUGGACCGAGCCCUAGCCCGGCAGUUCCGGCUGAGGACCAGAAGCAGAAGGUGUGCAGGUGCCCCGAGCCCCCACUCCAUUGACCGAAGCGCAAGAAACCCGGAGUGGGCUAGAUGCGGUACUGCACCAAGGGGACUGAGAAAAAGAGGACUGGAAAACAUGAAGCGAUUCAGACGGGGUAGGAUUGAGCCUCAGAGUCCGCACAGAGGACUUUGGCAGGGCCUGGGGCAGCAAGGGUGGCUUCAAGGAAUCGGAGGGUUCUGACCACUGCAGAUGCGGCUCAUGUGGGUGCGGCGAAAGCACCCACUUCUCCCAGGAUCUAAACGGAUAAACGGAAGCGAGUGUAAGUGUGGGGGUGCGAAUCGCCACCUCCGGCCUUGGCUUUCCCGUUCCUGAGAGCACCCCCACUUCUCACUUUCCCAAAAUCCGCAUUUUUCUUGGCACAGCCCUCCCGAACACCGAGCUAAGAGAGGGAGGUGCCCGGGGGCAGUGAGAGUGACGUGUGCUGGUGCAGAGGGGGGUGGGGGGCUGCGGGCUGGGCUCUGUGGACCGACUCCUAAUCCUCUUGUUUUCGGAACCGUCAGCAGAUGUGGCUUCUCUUAGCUGAAUAAUCCGUUAAAGGAAUAAUAAUUUUUAAAAAGGACUUCGGCCUCACCCAACGAGGACAGUGAAGGAGAUCAGCGCCUGAUCUGCCGUUGGUUUGGACUGGCUGAGACGCUGCGGGCUGCAACCAGUGUCUUUUAAGGGAGAACAAAAAGAUGAGGAUCUUGUGCGGGGCUCCGGGACAAAGCGUCUUGGGCCCGGUGACAAGGGUCACGCGGAACUCUGGCUCCCGGACUGAAGAGAUCAACGCUGCCCAACGGUACCCAGCAGGACCUGCGGACCUCUGAGGCGAGAGGACCGCAGCAGGAGAGUUCCGGAAGGCUGAUUCCCACAGAUCCUGGUAAGGGACCACUGCGGCUCUGCCCUGCGGCACGCCCGGCCAGGCUGCACCAGGACUCUACACUCUAGGAAAAAGCUUGGAAACGAAAGGAUGCGGGAGAACAAAGAGCCUACGGAGGACGUGGCUGUUAUCUCAUUGUCUGUGACUGGGGGAGCUGCGGUAGGAAGGAUGCGGUGGUCCUUAGCUCAUCGCGUUCCCCAAACCCCACACCCUCUCUGCUGUCAGUGCGCACGCACACGCACGCGUCGCCAGCUCUUUUUUUUUCUCAUCCCUCGUUUUUUUCAUUUCAUCUUCUCCCCAUCCCCUCCCUUUCUUUCCACCUUUCCUUCCUUUCUCCCUCCCUCCUUUUCUUCCCCCUCCCCCCUCCCUUUCUCCUAUCCUCCCUCCCUCCCAUCCUUCCUUCUUCCGAUCUUUCUUUCCUUCCUUCCUUCUUCCUUCCUCAGGAGAAAGGCCUCUCUCUCCGUGUUCACAGCGGACCUUGAUUUAAAUGUCCAUACAAUUAAGGCACGCGGUGAAUGCCAAGAAUGGGGCUGUCUGAGCACCUUGGGUCCACGAGGGCCCGCCACGGAAGGAUCGACUCAGCACAACGCCUUGUGCAGAUUUCAGUGCUGCAGCUGCAGGCGCCCACAGUAGGGGUAGCGGACUUCUAAGUGCCUCGCAAUGUAGCCCUUAGGGUGGGGAGGUGUGCGGCUACCAACAGAGAGGGGUUUGUGCAGAUGCGAAUAGAAUCUAGGAAGCAAACAACUCGUUCUGUGAUAGGAACACGUAUCUAUGCAAGCAGGGUGGUGGUGAAAGUAGAAAAUAGCCUGGCAGGAGGGUGGAGAGUGAAACGUGCAUCUUAGCAUCUGGGACCCUGCCCAUUGUAGAAGGCCAGCACCUUCAUCCCUAUCCGUUUUAGUUCCGAAUUUCAAUUUACCCUUAAACAAAAAAUAAUCGAGUACCCAUGCGACUGGCGGACUGCCCCAGAGCCUGGACUGCAGCUACCUUGUGUACUGCUUGGGGGUUGCUGGGGGUAGUCUUUAGGGGAAGCUGUUUGUCACCCUUCGGUGGAGAGCUGCGGGCAUUUGACAGGCUUAAGCAGGACUCUGGGGUGAAGGCAAUCAGCAAAUUUGUUCGUGGGCAGCACACAGACUCCAUCAAAACUGACAGCUAGCCCACUGCUCAAAGCAGGGCCUCCCAGACUCCUUGGGGCUGUGACUGAAGUUUCAGGCAGAGAUCCAGAAGCUACAGGGAAAAAAAGGCGCAGUACCCCGCAUAGCCUCCCCCCACCAACCCAGAGUGAGGGCUGCUCCCCGUUGCUCUUAAAACCCCCGGACAGAAGGAAAAACAGCAUGUGUAAGGUGGGGGCCUGCGGAAAGUCUGUUUCGAAACAGGCUGUCCAAGAACAGAAAGGGUUAAGCCUCCCUCAUCCUGAAGCACCUGCUUCCCAAAUCAGCCCCCAGCAGCAGCUGGUCCUGGAGGCCCCCCGACACAGUUCCAUCCAGUCUCCAUCUCAGUGUUCCGCCAACCUGCAGUGGAUGGAUGGUGGCCUGGUGGCCGACCUAAACUCAUUAAUUUCCAGGUGGAGAAAAUGGAGGAGGGGCAGGACACAGCAGCAGAGGGAGGGAAAGGAGGCCAAGAGCUGGCCUUCCCCCUACCCCCAGGAAGCAGGCUGUAGCCCUCCCCCCUGCUGCCAUGCCAGAGGCCUGCCUUUGCAAGGCCAAGCCCAUAAAGGAUGUUUAGGAGUUUAAUCUGAUUCCUAACACAGUAAUCAGGGUCUAAAAGAGCAUCCGUUGAAGUUAAUGGAGGACUCUUGUCUCAAAGCCUCAGCCUCAUCUUGUCUAGUAUAUUAGUAUCUGAAGGUAUCAUGGAUCAGUACCUCUCUGGCCUACUUUCCUCAAGAAUAUUCAUUAUUUCUUGAGUAUCUACUAUGUGUCCUACUUUGCGAUUAUUUCAACUUCUAAAUUUCCUCACAGAGGAGAGUGUUAGAGCCAGCCAGGCUGAGGUUAAACUCACCACAUUGCACCUAGGCAGUCCUAGAUCCUUCUCUGCUCUGCAAAAAUGAGCCACCACUGCCUGCUCACUCUUGCAGGCAGAAAGCUGCAGUGCACACAUCCUGAGGGCUUCUCUGGCUGAGUCCUACAAGGCAAACAGGACUGCUUCAAGGUGGAAAAGGAAAGACUCAGCAAUGGCUGUCCUAAGAGAUGUCAUAGUCAUUACCUUCAAAAUCUACCUCCCUUGAAAUAAGAAUUGGCCCCAUCCUGGAAUGCUCCCCUACCUUAUGAAUAGUUUAGAAGAGGGCAGCUAGUGUGCUGUACCAUUUGGGGGUACGCCCAUUUGCCGCAACACCCCCCUCUUCAUGCUCGUUGAGAUGUUAUUUUGCCUUCAAGCAAUGGCCUAAGCUGCUGAUGGCUCAACACCCCCUGGACCACAAAUGUCCCCAUUAGCAAUCCUCUGCUCAGUAAUUGCUUCCCCGUGAUUCCUUCAAAUGUCCCCUCGUCCUUCACCAAUAUUUCAUCUUACAUAACCUCCAGAUGCUUCCCCCAAGUAAGGUCCUUUUAGGUAGAAACCCAAUAUGCUUUUUCUUUGAGAACUCCAACCGCAGGCCCCGUCCAUAAGGCCUGCCUGGGAUCUGCUACAGAGGAUCCGUGUUGGGAGGGGUGCAUUGUUAUUUUAUUGCUUACGUAAACUCUUGGUCCAGAAAGCAUUAUUAGUGUGUGGGAGUGCUCUGGGCUGGCCAGUCUGUGUGAACCAGUGUGAGUAUGUGUCUACCAGAUCCCCUUCACAGAAGGGGUUUAUGUGUAGGUCUCUAAUGACCUGCUCAGCCCCAGGUAUAAUUGCAAGCCCCCUUUCGCUUCCACCAAAUGAAGAGGCGAGGUCAGCCUGAGCCACCUCCUUCCUCUACCCUUGUCGCCCUUCUCUGCCCAUCAGUAAUUAUGCAGAGAACUCGAAGCUUUCGACUCUCCCAAGGCACCUCUAGAAUUCUCAACAUCAUCUCCCCUGCCUGUCUGAACCUUCUAAUUACAUCUUCUGGCUAAAAUGAAAGGAGAAACGUAUGAUCUAACAGUAGGAUGAGGUUGCCAUCGCUUGAUGACUGAAUGUGUUUUCUUUUCCCCUUGGAUUUGUUCACAACCACUACUGCCUUAGUCCCUAUGGGGUACAAUCUCUUGUGUUCCUUAAGGAACCCAGCGCUGGGACUAGAUUUAGUAAUGUAUCAAAGAACUAAUUACAAUUGCUAUGUUUCUCUCCCCUGCCAGAGACAGCCCAGAUCUGUCUCAGUGAGAAAGAAUCCAUUCUUUAACAGAGACAGUGCGAGGGGGGGGAAAUCUAUGAAUGUCUUCUGUUGGGGGAGGGUGCAUUAAAAACUUUCAUCAGAUAACUAAUAUGUGGGAGGGGUAUGUCCCCAGCUAGUAUUUCUCCGUGCACACGUAUUAAGCCAUAGAUUUUCUCACAUCACCGUAUCCAUCGCUAAUGUGGAAGGCACUUGACCACAGAAAAAUGUGCACCCAUCCACACCAGCUCUACAAGGAAAAUUUCUCUCCCACUAUUGAACUUACAUAAUACCCACCCCCAUUCCAACCUUAGAGUGCCGUCUGGGGGCAGCUGCAGAAUUCCUGCCUGGGACAGAUGGAGCCUCCCCUUCCUCAGCUACUCUGUGGGUGGUUUUGAGCCCAUGAGUCAACAUGGGCAGACUGUAGUGUGUGCUGGCUGCAGCAGCGGUGGUGGUAGUGGUGAUGGUGGUGGUGGUGGUGGUGGUGUGUGUGUGUGUGUGUGUGUGUGUGUGUGUGUGUAUGAGUCUUAGCAGUCUGAUUCACAUUGAGAAUAUCAACAACAAUGUUGAGAAUUAUGACACCUAAUAAAGAUCUUUUUUCUUUCAA
Rattus norvegicus (Norway rat) is the source of this 5091-nucleotide non-coding RNA. Lineage: Eukaryota; Metazoa; Chordata; Mammalia; Rodentia; Muridae. The record is from RefSeq and is a predicted model, not a curated record.